This 972-nucleotide long non-coding RNA is filed under the name Panax ginseng (ginseng). RNAcentral describes it as "long non-coding RNA (PGIN_LNC016968)". Lineage: Eukaryota; Viridiplantae; Streptophyta; Magnoliopsida; Apiales; Araliaceae. The record is from RNAcentral.
ACGUCUUUACCACAAUGUACGAGUUAAAAUCUUGAACUGUUCAAUUUGUGCAAUUGAUUCUCUUUUUAGAUAAUAUGUGGCUGUGGUGGUAGAUACUAGUUUAUAUAGAGGAUGAUUUUGAUAUAAAGUUUUGACUUAUAAAUUGUGUACUCUAAUUUGACGCAAAUGGAUUAUAUGUUCUCAUUUUUUGGUCGGUAAUUCUAUGCUCUUUUGUGUAAUGUGAAUUGUGUUUUAUGUUGAUGAUUGUGAACAGUGGUCCAUCAAGGUUUGAUGGCGAAAGACCACGAUUUGGUGAUCGGGAUGGUUAUCGUGGAGGGCCCCGAGGUGGACCACCUGGUGAGUUUGGUGGAGACAAGGGUGGAGCUCCUGCUGAUUACCAGCCUUCUUUUAGGGUAAUCUCUCCCUCGUGUUCUUUCUCAUGAUAUUUUUUGAUUGAAUCACAAGUUGUGCGAUGUUGGAAUCUUAAAAUAUUAGUGUAAUUGGCAAAUAAUGUAGAUUGGGUUAGAAUGGUUCUAUUACCAAUUCUUGGCUGAAUAUAAUAUCAACUAUUAAUCUACUUACUUUUAUAUAUCUUGUGUUCCUAUUCCACUCAUACAAGGACCUGGUGGAAGGAUUGGUUUUGGUCGUGGAUCCGGUGGAUAUGGUGCGGGGGCUACUAGCUCUGAUCUUCCUUAAGUUGCUGCUUCAUUGCUUUGUAAACUCCAAAUAUUGAUGGGUAACGUGUAAUAGUUCUAGGCUUGAGCAGAUAUGUUGUGUUGCGAAAGUAGUUCCAACUAGUGUUAUCAUAUGAAUGCUCAAGGCUCUUGCACUUUCUUUUGGAUUUCAGCAAUCAAGCUCGUUUGUUUUAUUACAUAAUUGAAUUAUGUUGAAGUUAAAUGAAUUUUGUAAACAUAAACCCACUCAUCUUUUAUGUUCCCCUGAAUUAAAGUACCAAAGCAAAUGGCAAAUGGCAAAUGGCUUACACUUGGCUCU